Molecule: ribosomal RNA, 114 nt
Filed under: Oryza sativa Indica Group (long-grained rice)
Lineage: Eukaryota; Viridiplantae; Streptophyta; Magnoliopsida; Poales; Poaceae
Source: RNAcentral
CCUGGUGGUAUCGCGGGGCGGCUGCACCGGUUCCCAUUCCGAACACGGCCGUGAAACGCCCCAGCGCCAAUGGUACUCCGUCUUAAGACGCGGGAGAGUAGGUCGCUGCCAGGU